This is a long non-coding RNA of Sander lucioperca (pikeperch), 375 nucleotides long. RefSeq lists it as uncharacterized. The transcript is spliced from 2 exons. The record is from RefSeq and is a predicted model, not a curated record. Lineage: Eukaryota; Metazoa; Chordata; Actinopteri; Perciformes; Percidae.
CAUUAUAAGUUUAGAUUUUCAUAUGUAUAGAUUAGUUGGGCAGCAUUUUUAGGUCAUUAAAGUAACUCUGUGUAUAAGGUGUGAAAUGUUUGUUUGCAGACGUGGCGUCCGUUCUGUAACCAGUUUGAAGGGCUCAUUGAAGAUUUUAACUACGGCACUCUACUCCGUCUGGACUGUGAGAAAGAUUACACGGAGGAGAAUACUAUAUUUGCCACCAGGGUCCAGUUCUUCGCUGUUGAAAUCGCCCGCAACAGAGAAGGCUACAACAACACUGUGUUCAUGUCCAAAUCUUCAAAGAGCUAGUCACCAAAUGAACUUAUCCAACCAUGUGUAAAACCACCAGGACCGCCCCUCCAGGACACAUAAAGAUGAACU